Molecule: long non-coding RNA, 1058 nt
Filed under: Olea europaea subsp. europaea
Lineage: Eukaryota; Viridiplantae; Streptophyta; Magnoliopsida; Lamiales; Oleaceae
Source: RNAcentral
CUUCAUAGGAGAUCUUUGACAAAGGAAAGUAAUGACAGAUUACUUACCUUAAUUACUUUCAGAAUUAACAAAGGCUAGAUAAAAGAUAAAAGUAGAGUUUCAAAGAAUACCAGAAUCUGAAAUAACAUAUUUCAAAAUGAAAAGAACAAUAAGAAAAUACCACGAUUGAACCUGGUCUCCCAAUUUAAGCACAAGAACCCUUCGAGUCAUGACGACUCAGUAUAAACUUAGCAAUUUGUCAAGAGCUCAGUAGAAAUCAAAAUGAGUCAACUCAAGUCGCCAGACUCAGUACUAGUUGUAAGAUCCACCAAAACUCAGUAGCAAGUCAAAUCCAAAUCGCUAGAACGCAGUAUAAACAACAUAUCCAAACAAGUCAAAAACGAGUUAAAAAGAUUUUGCAAAUGGAACUUUCAAUCUUUGAGUAACACAAUCGAUCUCAUAAGAACUUAUAGAUCUAUCCCAGAAAUAACCAAAUUACUACUAAAUUAUCCAGCCAAAAGUUGAAUCGAGGAUAGGUCAACACUCAGAGACUUCUAGAAAGUAGUUUUAUUCGCAAAAUUUCAAAGUAAAAGCAAAUCUGUAAUUUUUGGUAAAGUGAAAGAUUAGGAUUUAUACGGACACAUAGUCAAAUCUCCGAGAAAGCUCUGAUACCAUUGUUAGUCCCAGAGUGUUUCAAUAAUUAGUUGAAACGUAUAGUACAGAUUUUAAAAUUGCAUAAACGUAAAAGAAACAAAAGCAACCGAAUUGUUUUGCCCCAAAAAGGAGCCCGGAUGUUAAGUCUAAAUGGACCUACUCACUCGUUGAGCACCUACCAAGAGAUUAAGCUCAAUAUCCACUAAUUCCUACAAAGAAAUAGUAUUGAAUAUAUGAAAAAAUCAGUGAUUUCUUCAAAUUCUUUUUAGCCUUUCUAUAUCAAAUCAAUAACUAACACUCAAAGAUCUUUCAAAGAUCGCUCAAAUCAUCCUCAUUCUCACCAAGAGAAGAGAUUAUAUCACACAGAUGCAAGUUACAAAUUUCAGAGAAAAAUCUUAUCUCACAUAGAGAAAAGAACCGUCUAG